RNAcentral lists this ribosomal RNA (253 nucleotides) under uncultured bacterium. RNAcentral's name for it is "partial 16S ribosomal RNA". It matches the Rfam family "Bacterial small subunit ribosomal RNA", at positions 524 to 776 of the family's 1533-position model. The record is from RNAcentral.
GACAGAGGGUGCAAACGUUGUUCGGAAUUACUGGGCGUAAAGAGCGUGUAGGCGGCUUGGUAGGUCCGCUGUGAAAACUCGAGGCUCAACCUCGAGAUGUCGGCGGAAACCACUUGGCUAGAGUCCGGAAGAGGAGAGUGGAAUUCCCGGUGUAGCGGUGAAAUGCGCAGAUAUCAGGAGGAACACCGAUGGCGAAGGCAGCUCGCUGGGACGGUACUGACGCUGAGGCGCGAAAGCGUGGGGAGCAAACAGG